RNAcentral lists this ribosomal RNA (377 nucleotides) under uncultured delta proteobacterium. RNAcentral describes it as "bacterial SSU rRNA". It matches the Rfam family "Bacterial small subunit ribosomal RNA", at positions 521 to 896 of the family's 1533-position model. The record is from RNAcentral. Lineage: Bacteria; Deltaproteobacteria.
UAAUACGGAGGGUGCGAGCGUUGUUCGGAAUUAUUGGGCGUAAAGCGCGUGUAGGCGGCUUGGUAAGUCGGGUGUGAAAGCCCGGGGCUCAACCCCGGAAUUGCAUUCGAUACUGCCUCGCUAGAGUCCCGGAGAGGAGAGCGGAAUUCCCGGUGUAGAGGUGAAAUUCGUAGAUAUCGGGAGGAACACCAGCGGCGAAGGCGGCUCUCUGGACGGUGACUGACGCUGAGACGCGAAAGCGUGGGGAGCAAACAGGAUUAGAUACCCUGGUAGUCCACGCCGUAAACGUUGGGUGCUAGGUGUCGCGGGUAUUGACCCCUGCGGUGCCGUCGCUAACGCAUUUAGCACCCCGCCUGGGGAGUACGGUCGCAAGGCUA